UACGUAGGGCGCAAGCGUUGUCCGGAAUUAUUGGGCGUAAAGAGCUCGUAGGCGGUUUGUCGCGUCUGCUGUGAAAACCUAAGGCUCAACCUUGGGCUUGCAGUGGGUACGGGCAGACUAGAGUGUGGUAGGGGAGACUGGAAUUCCUGGUGUAGCGGUGGAAUGCGCAGAUAUCAGGAGGAACACCGAUGGCGAAGGCAGGUCUCUGGGCCAUUACUGACACUGAGAAGCGAAAGCAUGGGGAGCGAACAGG
This 253-nucleotide ribosomal RNA is filed under the name uncultured bacterium. Its description in RNAcentral is "partial 16S ribosomal RNA". It matches the Rfam family "Bacterial small subunit ribosomal RNA", at positions 524 to 776 of the family's 1533-position model. The record is from RNAcentral.